GAUGAACGCUAGCUACAGGCUUAACACAUGCAAGUCGAGGGGCAGCAUGAAGUUUGCUUGCAAACUUUGAUGGCGACCGGCGGAUGGGUGAGUAACGCGUAUCCAACCUGCCCCCUUCCCGGGCACAGCCCUUGGAAACGAGGAUUAACUCCCGAUGGCGUCGCCUUAACGCAUGUUUCGGCGACCAAAUGUUUAAGGAAGGGGAUGGGGAUGCGUCCCAUUAGCUUGUUGGCGGGGUAACGGCCCACCAAGGCUCCGAUGGGUAGGGGUUCUGAGAGGAAGGUCCCCCACACUGGAACUGAGACACGGUCCAGACUCCUACAGGAGGCAGCAGUGAGGAAUAUUGGUCAAUGGAGGCAACUCUGAACCCAGCCAAGUAGCGUGAGGGAAGACUGCCCUAUGGGUUGUAAACUUCUUUUGUUUGGGAAUAAAUGAUACUACGUGUAGUAUUUUGCAUGUACCUUACGAAUAAGCAUCGGCUAAUUCCGUG
Molecule: ribosomal RNA, 490 nt
Filed under: uncultured bacterium
Lineage: Bacteria
Description: bacterial SSU rRNA
Rfam family: Bacterial small subunit ribosomal RNA
Source: RNAcentral